UUGCGUACAAUCAGUCAUUUUACUUAUGAAAUGGUCUAUCAGCAGGGAAAAUUGCCAUGGAUGGCAAUUUUAGGAAGCCAAGGGCAGGAUGCCCUUGGCUUCCGGCCCGUUCGGUUCGAAACGAUUGCCCCAUUUCAUUAGUAAAAUCUGAUUGGAAGCCC
Lachnospiraceae bacterium 28-4 is the source of this 161-nucleotide regulatory RNA element. Lineage: Bacteria; Bacillati; Bacillota; Clostridia; Lachnospirales; Lachnospiraceae. The record is from Rfam.